RNAcentral lists this transfer RNA (113 nucleotides) under Phakopsora pachyrhizi. RNAcentral's name for it is "tRNA-Leu". It matches the Rfam family "tRNA". Rfam says of the family: Transfer RNA (tRNA) molecules are approximately 80 nucleotides in length. Their secondary structure includes four short double-helical elements and three loops (D, anti-codon, and T loops). Further hydrogen bonds mediate the characteristic L-shaped molecular structure. tRNAs have two regions of fundamental functional importance: the anti-codon, which is responsible for specific mRNA codon recognition, and the 3' end, to which the tRNAs corresponding amino acid is attached (by aminoacyl-tRNA synthetases). tRNAs cope with the degeneracy of the genetic code in two manners: having more than one tRNA (with a specific anti-codon) for a particular amino acid; and 'wobble' base-pairing, i.e. permitting non-standard base-pairing at the 3rd anti-codon position. Lineage: Eukaryota; Fungi; Basidiomycota; Pucciniomycetes; Pucciniales; Phakopsoraceae. The record is from RNAcentral.
GCUGAGAUGUCCGAGCGGUCUAAGGAGCUGGAUUCAAGUCGAAGCCGACUUCACCUAAUACUAAGUGAUUCCCAGUAGGGCAACCUGCGGGGGUUCGAAUCCCCCUCUCAGCA